UCAGACGAUGCGUCAUGCAUAUCAAUAAGCGGAGGAAAAGAAACUAACAAGGAUUCCCCUAGUAACGGCGAGUGAAGCGGGAAGAGCUCAAAUUUGAAAUCUUAAAGGGUUUCCCUUUACGAAUUGUAGUUUAAAGAAGUGUUUUCUGUUGAGGUUUUGGUAAAAGUUCUUUGGAAUAGGACAUCAUAGAGGGUGAGAAUCCCGUAUUUGACCUUUACUUUCAACUUUGUGAUACACUUUCAAAGAGUCGGGUUGUUUGGGAAUGCAGUCCAAAAUGGGUGGUAAAUUUCAUCUAAAGCUAAAUAUUGGCGAGAGACCGAUAGCGAACAAGUACCGCGAGGGAAAGAUGAAAAGAACUUUGAAAAGAGAGUUAAACAGUACGUGAAAUUGUCAAAAGGGAAGCGUUUGACACCAGUGUUGUUUUUCUGAAAAUCAAUUAAAGAACUGUUUAUGCUAAGCUGUUUAGACUUUAUCAGCUAUCUGUUUAGUUUUGAGCUUUUCUUUAAUGCACUUUUCAGUUAACAAGUCAACAUCAAUUUCUUUUGCUGUAAAAAAGCUUGAGGAAGGUGGCUUGAGAUUCGUCUUAAGUGUUUAUAGCCUCUUGCCUAUGCAGUCGGAGAGAUUGAGGUCUGCAGCGUAGAUCCUUCGGGGCUAAAUGCAUUUGUGCUAAGUUAUAGCAUUUUAUAGACAACUUGUUGACUAUGAUUUGUCUUGUAGCUUACUCGCUUAUGUUAUUUUACCUACGCUUAGGAUGUUGAAUCUGUGCGAGACUAC
This 774-nucleotide ribosomal RNA is filed under the name uncultured Neocallimastigales. RNAcentral's name for it is "partial large subunit ribosomal RNA". It matches the Rfam family "Eukaryotic large subunit ribosomal RNA", at positions 18 to 644 of the family's 3401-position model. Lineage: Eukaryota; Fungi; Neocallimastigomycota; Neocallimastigomycetes; Neocallimastigales. The record is from RNAcentral.